AUGGUGGCUCAGUGGUUAAAGCACUUGGCUGCUAACCAAAAGGUUGGUGGUUCAAACCCUGCCAU
Molecule: transfer RNA, 65 nt
Filed under: Loxodonta africana (African savanna elephant)
Lineage: Eukaryota; Metazoa; Chordata; Mammalia; Proboscidea; Elephantidae
Rfam family: tRNA
About the family: Transfer RNA (tRNA) molecules are approximately 80 nucleotides in length. Their secondary structure includes four short double-helical elements and three loops (D, anti-codon, and T loops).
Source: Rfam by way of RNAcentral